GGUGAAGUUUUUUUUGGGUGAAGCUUUUUUAGGUGAAGCUUUUUGGGUGAAGCUUUGAUGGUGAAGCUUUGUAGAUGAAGCUUUGUAGAUGAAGCUUUCGAGGUGAAGCUUUGAUGGUGAAGCUUUGUAGGUGAAAGUAUGUAGAGGGAGCUUUCUAGGUGAAGCUUUUUUAGGUGAAGUUGUGUAGGUGAAGCUUUUUUAAGUGAAGCUUUUCGGGUGAAGUUUUUUGGGUGAAGCUUUGUGGGUGAAGCUUUUUAGGUGAAGCUUUGUGGGUGAAGCUUUUUUAGGUGAAGCUGUUUGGGUGAAGCUUUUUGGAGGUGAAGUUUUUUUUUUUUUUUUUUUUUUUUUUUUUUUUUUUUUUGGUGAAGCUUUUUGGGUGAAACUUUUUGGAUGAAGCUUUUUGGGUGAAGUUUUGGAGGUGAAGCUUUUU
RNAcentral lists this long non-coding RNA (430 nucleotides) under Malus domestica (apple). RNAcentral describes it as "long non-coding RNA (MDOM_LNC002219)". Lineage: Eukaryota; Viridiplantae; Streptophyta; Magnoliopsida; Rosales; Rosaceae. The record is from RNAcentral.